AUGUAGAGGCGCGGUAUCGAAUAGUACUCAUGGUUGGGGUGAUGCCAAUGAACCAUGAUGAAAGGUUUUAUCGCCGAAGUCAGUUCGCACAUCAAAGCGGCUGGCUGGGGUUGUCAGCGAAUAGGGGCAACACUGCCAUAGUCUAUAUUGUUGUUAAACUAUGGAGCGCUACUGUA
RNAcentral lists this non-coding RNA (176 nucleotides) under Vibrio fluvialis. RNAcentral describes it as "Lysine riboswitch aptamer". It matches the Rfam family "Lysine riboswitch aptamer". From Rfam's summary of the family: Riboswitches are metabolite binding domains within certain messenger RNAs that serve as precision sensors for their corresponding targets. Lineage: Bacteria; Pseudomonadati; Pseudomonadota; Gammaproteobacteria; Vibrionales; Vibrionaceae. The record is from RNAcentral.